Parus major (Great Tit) is the source of this 1645-nucleotide long non-coding RNA. The record is from Ensembl. NCBI's taxonomy places the organism in Eukaryota, Metazoa, Chordata, Aves, Passeriformes, Paridae.
UGUGUGUCUGUCUCAGCUUGGUGUCAUCUCUGUCAUGUGCCACUGUCCCGACCCGUCCUCAGGUGUUUCCCAGCCCUAGGCCACAGCCCGGGGAAGAGCCGUGUUUCCCACACCGGCCGUGCCGUCCGGGAGGCCACACGCCGCUCCUGUGGGGGAAAGCUGCCACCGCGCCUGGCCACCUGUUUGUUUCUUUUCCGCAGAAGAUUGCUCCUGUCUACCCAUCUUCUCCUUCCUGGGAGAUUUGCAAAUGCCUUGCUCCGCCUCCUUCUCUGUAGAGACACAAAAGGCAGGCAGCGCCAUCACAUUAUCGGCAUUGUGUCAGCCUUGACUUGUUACAAUGCCUUGGAAUUCACACAGCAAGUCACACAGCAUGGCAUAACAUUUCUUACCUAUGUUGAUCCCUUUGGAAUUACAGGAGAUGGAGGGCAAGCAAUCCAGAUCUACCUGGCUAAGAAGAAACACAUGGCAACUGCACUUUUGUCUGCCUUUCUCCCCUCAGCUUUUAAUACUGCCUUUGAUAAGGGCUUUUUACAAAUGAACAGUAAGAUUUUGAAGAAGCCAUCUGUAGGAAGAAAGAAAGUGAUAUAUAUGAGUAUUUCUUUUCACCUUGAUCUAAUAAAUGAUCAGUUAUGUUCUGUAAAUUAGUCCUACAGAUUGUUAGUGUAGAACAGAAAUCUAUCAAUUCAGUACAAAGAGACUUGCUAUUCAUAUUAAGCAAGAGACACAAUCACUUUUUGGCUGUGGACUUAGUUCAGCACAACUCUUGGUGUCAGUCUAAUCUCAGUGAAUGUCUAGAGGAAGAUGUAGAGGAUUCGCUGCAGUCCUUCUAGGUCUUUAAAAUACACCAGUCCUUGGCUUAUUAGCUUUGAACCCUAUGUGGAGAAAUGUUUUUAGAUCUUACAUAAAGUGCUAUUUUGGAGAGAUCUAGCAAGUCUACUCAUUAUUUGGGUUGAACAGUUUUCUCUGUUAUAAAUCCCCAGUUUUCCUGUUUGUGAUUUUGACAAAGUUUUAAAAAUGUUUCAGCAGGAGAUUUUCCAUGACAUCCAGCUUAAGCUACUUUCAAGAUCCAAGUUAAGGAUCAAAAAAUGCUGUUUUUUUCAUGGCCUGAAAUUCUUGAGGGGUCUUUCUUGUAUGGGCAGUGGGAUGACUGACAGUUCUUCCAUUCUUUGGAAAGGGCUCGCAAUGUGGCAAAAAAACUGACUAUAGUGCAGUGGAUGGAGAAAAAGAACAGCCUUUGAAAGACAGAGCAGUUUUUAAGAUACAUUUAAACUGUGAUUUUAGAACCUCACAGAGUCAGUAUUCUCUGAGCACCAGCAGAAGGGAAGCACAUAUUGCAGCCAAGGACAGGGACAGAAAGGACAGUACUGCCCCAAAAAGAUGGACUGUCCCUGUCCCUCUGCCCCAGAUGAUGCAGGGCACUUCAUUCAAGCAGUCUUUGAAGAGGAGGGUGCUGCCACUAAAAGCCAGUGGUAGCUGUACUUAAGGCAGAUGAGGUGCCAGGCUUAAAAAUCCUAAAAAAAAAUCAGGAAUGAGACACAUCAAACAGAAAAAUCAAUUUUCUGGCAAGCUCUGGCUGUCAUGAUUUAUAUUGGUGCAUACAGAUGGGAUCUUCAUUCAUGGAGAUGUUAAUUACACAGACCAUGUG